UUAUCCCAUGAAUGAAACCUGAUGCCAAAAUAAGUGUAUCGGCAUGUUAAGCAGCACAUGUCUUUGUGUUCUCCUUGUAGUCCAGCCAUCCAGUAUUUUGGCACGGCUCUCCCUUUGAGACCAGCAAAAACGAUGGAAAGAUUCCAUGGCGGGUGUGAAAUCACAUGACUGAAACUUGAUAAUCCUUUCCUCGGGCUGGCUGAACUCAUUGAGCUAGACAACAUCAACAUGCUUCCCACCCUCCUCACCACCGUGCUUUUUACAAUGGGAUCAGAUGCUGUCCCUUAUGCCAUCCUAUCUCCACCAUUUCACCUGAACACUGAUCUCAGAGGCUUGACCAUCCUGGUGUGUGUGGUUCACGACAUUCAUCAAGGAGAGCUGGAGGUCUCCUGGAUUUCGAGUGGCACCAGAGGAACUAUUCCAGCAGUUCCUAACUUACUCCAAGGACACAGUGGCAUUCAGAGCACAAUGUCUGUUAUAUCUGUGCCCUCGAGUGAAUGGAUGUCCUACACCUGCUUUGUGAGUCACAGAGGCUCCGAUCAACUCAUACACAGACAUUAUGCUGGACUCCCAAUGGAGACAACCGAAAUGGCUGAUGAUGAAGAAACGUUUGAUAUGUGUUUGGACAAUCAAAGCAGUUUUUUGGAAGAUGUUCGAGCAAACAACGAUCUAUUAUUUGUUCAAGCUCUCAGAAUUAUCCUUCUCAAAAUCACCAUUUUCAACGUUCUGAUGACAGUGCAAGCCGUUAUAAAGUGAUUGCAGAGUUUCAAAAACAACUGCCACGGAUGCCGGAGUUAAUUGGAUGUGGAAUUCCAGGACGAGGAAUUCCAGUUGAUGUAAACGAGAAUCUGGAAUAUUGACGAGGGUCUCGUUGAGCUUCGGAGCAGCAUCACGCCACAAGAUGCAGGUGCUUCGAUAUGUGGGCAGAUGAGUGUGAUAGCUGCUCAAACCACAUCAUGUACACAAUACAACAAAUGCACUGCACCACAAGCUGCUUUUGUAGGCCAUUGUCAAAACUAAAAGCUUUUAAUGGCAUUGUUAAGUCAGCUUUUACUAAUGUGACACUGUUGAACUUUUGAUCUGUCUGACAUUUGUGAAUGUGACAUCAGUGCUACAUCAAGAUUUUUUGCAUUCAUUUUUGAAGCAUAGAAUAUUCACAGUUUGUUUUAAUUACACUACCGUUCAAAAGUUUGCUGUUUGUAAGAUUUUAU
Non-coding RNA from Carassius auratus (goldfish), 1211 nucleotides. Lineage: Eukaryota; Metazoa; Chordata; Actinopteri; Cypriniformes; Cyprinidae. The record is from the annotation of a RefSeq genome assembly.